CCCUACUAUGCCUAACCGUAACACGACAAUUAAAUUACUAACUGUCCGCCAAAUAACUACGAGUAAAGACUUAAAACUUAAAAGACUUGACGGUGCUUCACAACAGUCUAGAGGAGCUUGUCAAAUAACCGAUACCCCACGAUUAACCCAACCCCCCCUAGCCAACAGUCUAUAUACCGCCGUCGCCAGCCUACCUUAUGAAAGAAAAAAAGUAAGCUAAAUAGUAAAAUACACUAGCACGACAGGUCGAGGUGUAACUCAUGGAGGGGCUAAGAUGAGCUACAUUUUCUAACACAGAAAAUACGAAUAAACUAUGAAACAAGAAACUGAAGGAGGAUUUAGCAGUAUACUGGAGAUAAAUUUACCCAGUCGAAAUUAAAGCAAUGAAGCGUGUACACACCGCCCGUCAUCCCUGCCAACUAAAUUUAAUAUACAUAAAAUUAUCAAAGUAUUAAAACA
This 459-nucleotide ribosomal RNA is filed under the name Spilotes sulphureus (Amazon puffing snake). RNAcentral describes it as "partial 12S ribosomal RNA". Lineage: Eukaryota; Metazoa; Chordata; Lepidosauria; Squamata; Colubridae. The record is from RNAcentral.